Molecule: ribosomal RNA, 468 nt
Filed under: uncultured bacterium
Lineage: Bacteria
Description: partial 16S ribosomal RNA
Rfam family: Bacterial small subunit ribosomal RNA
Source: RNAcentral
UAGGGAAUCUUCCACAAUGGACGCAAGUCUGAUGGAGCAACGCCGCGUGAGUGAAGAAGGUUUUCGGACCGUAAAGCUCUGUUGUUGGUGAAGAAGGAUAGAGGUAGUAACUGGCCUUUAUUUGACGGUAAUCAACCAGAAAGUCACGGCUAACUACGUGCCAGCAGCCGCGGUAAUACGUAGGUGGCAAGCGUUGUCCGGAUUUAUUGGGCGUAAAGCGAGCGCAGGCGGAAGAAUAAGUCUGAUGUGAAAGCCCUCGGCUUAACCGAGGAAUUGCAUCGGAAACUGUUUUCUUGAGUGCAGAAGAGGAGAGUAGAACUCCAUGUGUAGCGGUGGAAUGCGUAGAUAUAUGGAAGAAUACCAGUGGCGAAGGCGGCUCUCUGGUCUGCAACUGACGCUGAGGCUCGAAAGCAUGGGUAGCGAACAGGAUUAGAUACCCUUGGUAGUCCAUGCCGUAAACGAUGAGUG